This 497-nucleotide ribosomal RNA is filed under the name uncultured bacterium. RNAcentral's name for it is "partial 16S ribosomal RNA". It matches the Rfam family "Bacterial small subunit ribosomal RNA", at positions 28 to 507 of the family's 1533-position model. The record is from RNAcentral.
GAUGAACGCUGGCGGCGUGCCUAAUACAUGCAAGUCGAGCGAACAGACGAGGAGCUUGCUCCUCUGACGUUAGCGGCGGACGGGUGAGUAACACGUGGAUAACCUACCUAUAAGACUGGGAUAACUUCGGGAAACCGGAGCUAAUACCGGAUAAUAUAUUGAACCGCAUGGUUCAAUAGUGAAAGACGGUUUUGCUGUCACUUCUAGAUGGUUCCGCGCCGCAUUAGCUAGUUGGUAAGGUAACGGCCUACCAAGGCAACGAUGCGUAGCCGACCUGAGAGGGUGGUCGGCGACACUGGAACUGGGACGCGGUCCUGACUCCUACGGGAGGCAGCAGUCGGGAAUCUUCCGCAAUGGGCGAAAGCCUGACGGAGCAGCGCCGAGUGAGUGAUGAAGGUCUUCGGAUCGUAAAACUCUGUUAUUAGGGAAGAACAAAUGUGUAAGUAACUAUGCACGUCUUGACGGUACCUAAUCAGAAAGCCACGGCUAACUACGUG